This is a long non-coding RNA of Gorilla gorilla gorilla (western lowland gorilla), 370 nucleotides long. RefSeq lists it as uncharacterized. NCBI's taxonomy places the organism in Eukaryota, Metazoa, Chordata, Mammalia, Primates, Hominidae. The transcript has 3 exons. The record is from RefSeq and is a predicted model, not a curated record.
CCGCUUGUUCGCUCACUCUCAGUGAAAAGAGUUUUGAAAUGAGUUCUGAAUAGACAGCAUUUUCUUUGUGCGGUUGGUAAAUAACACAGAGCAAAGUUAGCAAGUUGCAGCGCCUCUGCGUUCUGAUUCUAUGGAACCUUUUUGUAGGGAGAAGGGCAGGAUGUUUUUAACUGAAUGUGACCUCACGGGAAUACUAGAGAAAAUAAUAAAAUUUCUGAAUGGGGCAGCGUGGAGAAAUCCUAAGAGAAAUAGCAUAAGAGCAUUUUGGAACACAUCCAGGAAAAGAUAACUUUCUACACACCUGUAGACGUUCGCCAGGUAAAGGAGUGAUGGAAACUCUCCAGUUCAGAUCCAGUAACUUUUAGGGAAG